GAGGGUGGGGUGGGAAGCAGUCUCGGUGGGCGAUUGGCGGAGGGUGAGAGCCAGACGCCCAAACACAGAUGGGACGUAUGGAGAAGACCUUGCGCGAGAGCUGCUGCAGUGACAAUGCCAGAUCCUUAACCUGCUGCACCGCAAGGGAACUCCUGUCUGUGCCUUUCUAAACUCAUCUGUGAAGGGGGUGCAGAGGCUCAGCUCGCAUACCACCUCCUCCAGGAAGCCUCCCGGGACUUGGAUCCUCCUGCAGGAAGUGAUGGCCUGCUCCCUGCUCGCCCCCACCCAGGCCUUUCCUCUGGGCCUCUCUGACACCCUGGGCGGUUCUGCCUUGAAGAUGUGUGUACAUGUCCUCAUGUUCCCAGCAGGCUGCGGGGGCCGGCCCAGUUCUGAUUCAGCUUUCCUUUCCCAUGGUGCUUUUUUCCAAGUAAACACAGGCUCU
Molecule: long non-coding RNA, 442 nt
Organism: Phacochoerus africanus (Common warthog)
Lineage: Eukaryota; Metazoa; Chordata; Mammalia; Artiodactyla; Suidae
Exons: 3
Source: RefSeq, a predicted model, not a curated record